AUUGAACGCUGGCGGCAUGCCUUACACAUGCAAGUCGAACGGCAGCACGGGAGCAAUCCUGGUGGCGAGUGGCGAACGGGUGAGUAAUAUAUCGGAACGUGCCCGGUCGUGGGGGAUAACGUAGCGAAAGCUACGCUAAUACCGCAUACGAUCUACGGAUGAAAGCGGGGGAUCGCAAGACCUCGCGCGAUUGGAGCGGCCGAUAUCAGAUUAGGUAGUUGGUGAGGUAAAGGCUCACCAAGCCGACGAUCUGUAGCUGGUCUGAGAGGACGACCAGCCACACUGGGACUGAGACACGGCCCAGACUCCUACGGGAGGCAGCAGUGGGGAAUUUUGGACAAUGGGCGCAAGCCUGAUCCAGCAAUGCCGCGUGCAGGAUGAAGGCCUCGGUUGGUUAAACG
This 401-nucleotide ribosomal RNA is filed under the name uncultured bacterium. RNAcentral's name for it is "bacterial SSU rRNA". It matches the Rfam family "Bacterial small subunit ribosomal RNA", at positions 30 to 431 of the family's 1533-position model. The record is from RNAcentral.